RNAcentral lists this ribosomal RNA (1263 nucleotides) under Triticum aestivum (bread wheat). RNAcentral's name for it is "partial small subunit ribosomal RNA". The record is from RNAcentral. Lineage: Eukaryota; Viridiplantae; Streptophyta; Magnoliopsida; Poales; Poaceae.
AUGGCGGCGUCGGAGCUACACUUCUUGCUGGUACCGCUAGUGGCGCAGGGCCACAUCAUCCCCAUGGUGGACCUAGCUCGCCUCCUCGCCGCGUGGGGGCCGCGCGUCACCGUCGUCACCACACCUGUCAACGCCGCGCGGAACAGAGCCACCAUCGACGGAGCCAGGAGGGCGGGCCUCGCCGUCGAGCUCGUGGAGCUCCCCUUCCCCGGCCCGCAGGUGGGGCUGCCGGAGGGGCUGGAGAACCUCGACCAGCUGCUCGACGACGCUGAUGCUGCACUGCCCGUCCGCCUAUUUCCUCCUCGCCGUGCACAACCUGUCCACUCCACGCACGGCGUGUACGACCGUGUCGGCGACAACGAGACGGAGCCGUUCGAGGUGCCGGACUUCCCGAUGGGCGCCGUCGGGAACACGGCCAUGUUCCGGGGCUUCUUCCAUCACCCCGGCGUGGAGAAGGAGCAGCGCGACAUUCUCGAUGCCGAGGCCACCGCUGAUGGCCUGCUGAUCAACACGUUAGGCGGCGUCGAGGGGAUCUUUGUCGACGCGUAUGCGGCGGUGCUCCGCAAGAGGACGUGGGUUCUCGGGUCGACGUGCACCUCUGGCAUCUUGGACAAGGACGCCGACGCCAUGGCCGACCGCGGCAACCACGCCGACGUCGAUGUCGGCCACGUCGUCUCAUGGCUCGACGCCCGGCCACCGGCGUGUGCUGGCAAGGGCCUCGUCGUGCGCGGGUGGGCGCCGCAGGUGACCAUCCAAUCGCACCCGGCGGUGGGUGGCUUCCUCACGCACUGCGGAUGGAACGCGACGCUGGAGGCCAUCUCCCACGGCGUGCCGACGCUGACGUGGCCCUGCUUCACCGACCAGUUCUGCAGCGAGCGGCUGCUCGUGGACGUGCUCCGCAUAGGCAUCAGGUCGGGCGUCAAGGUGCCCGCCAAGAACGUCCCCAAAGUGGCCGAUGGCGUCCAGGUGCCGAGCGGCGACGUGGAGAAGGCCAUUGCCGAGCUGAUAGAUGGCGGGCCCGAGAGGACGGUGAGGAGCUCCAGAGCCAAGGAAGUUGCCAGGGAGGCGAGAGCGGCCAUGGAGGAAGGCGGGUCGUCGUACUCCGACCUGACGGACAUGAUCCGCUACGCCUUGGAGCCGUCGAGAAAAAGGAGCCACGAGAGGGACACAAGCUCGAUGACCCAUCCUCUCACGGCGGCAGAGCUCCGAAGCAACGACGGCGAGAAGAUCGAAGCCGGUGCUCCAUUGUCACUACAGUCCUAA